Molecule: non-coding RNA, 96 nt
Organism: Xylariomycetidae sp. FL2044
Lineage: Eukaryota; Fungi; Ascomycota; Sordariomycetes
Source: the annotation of a GenBank genome assembly
CUCCUAGUAGCUCAGUUGGUUUAGAGCGUUCGGCUGUAAUUGAAAGAUGAAAACUUGAUUACCGAAAGGUCACCUGUUCGACUCAGGUCUGGGAGA